This 1266-nucleotide ribosomal RNA is filed under the name Triticum aestivum (bread wheat). RNAcentral describes it as "partial small subunit ribosomal RNA". Lineage: Eukaryota; Viridiplantae; Streptophyta; Magnoliopsida; Poales; Poaceae. The record is from RNAcentral.
AUGAGCGCCCGCCAAAUCCAGAUGGAUCUGCUGGAGGCCCACGUUGAUGCAUGGAUCCAAAAAGCUGAACGCAGGUGCGCCCUGGCCCGCUUAUCUGGUGCGUACAUACACCUCGCGAUAUGUGCCAGCCACGACCUACUCAAUACCAUGCACCUACUCAGCUUGUCACCCAUCCACCUCCUCCUUAUCGGCAUUCUUCCCGCCGUCGUGGCCGCGGCGUACCUCAUGAACCGCCCCCGCACCGUGUACCUCGUCGAUUACGCCUGCUUCCUCCCAAGUCCCAGCUGGCGUUUCCCCAUCUCCACCAUCGUGGAGCACGUCCAGCUCAUGCCCUUCUUUGGCGACCCCAUCGUCCGCUUCAUGGCGCGCAUGCUCGACCGCAGCGGCAUCGGCAAUGAGACCAGCCCGCCCCUCGCGCAGCACCACGUUCCACCGCGCAUCAACCUCAAGGACUGCCGCGCCGAGGCGGAGCAGGUCAUCUUCUCCGCGAUCGACGACCUGUUUGCCAAGACGGGCAUUGCCCCAGACACGGUCGAGGUCGUCGUCAUCAACUGCGGCGUGUUCGCCCCGGAGCCGUCCCUUGCGGACAUGAUCGUGCGCAGGUACGGGCUCCGAAGCGACGUCCGCAGCGUGAACCUGUCCGGGAUGGGGUGCAGCGCGGGCGUGAUCUCAGCAGGGCUAGCGGCCGGGGUGCUGCGGGCAAUGCCUCGCGGCUGCGGCGGGCGCUCCCUGGUGGUGUCCACGGAUACCAUCACGCCCAACUUCUACGUGGGCAAAGAGCGCGCCAUGCAGCUCUCCAACGUGCUGUUCCGUGUGGCCGGUCCCGCGGCGCUGCUGUCGACGGCGGCCGAGGACAAGGCCAUGGCGUGGUUCCGGCUGGCGCACCUGGUGCGGACCACCACGGCGGCGCGGAUGAGGGCGCCUCCUACGGGCCGGGUGCAUCUUUCAGGAGGAGGACGGCGAGGGCAACGUGUUCGAAAAAUCCGUGUCCAGUUAAACAGGAGCAGCAGCGUCAGUGAUUACAUCAGAGUUGUCGGGCCUGCUGACAAUCCCAAGGUGGGUCUGCAACGCCCAGAGAAGUGUGAUCAGCUCGCCACCCCGGGCAAUGGCCUCUGCAUGCCCAUCCAUGUUGUCCGAUGGAGAAACAUACAAGAUCAACUCCGACCAAAACUUGGCAAGAGCCUUCCACACCAUUUCCUCUCCAUCAACAAUCUCUGUCAACUGGCCUCCAAGCACAACACCAUUCUUGAGCACCUCGUGUUCUGA